This 671-nucleotide ribosomal RNA is filed under the name Escherichia coli. RNAcentral describes it as "partial 23S ribosomal RNA". It matches the Rfam family "Bacterial large subunit ribosomal RNA", at positions 660 to 1327 of the family's 2925-position model. The record is from RNAcentral. Lineage: Bacteria; Pseudomonadati; Pseudomonadota; Gammaproteobacteria; Enterobacterales; Enterobacteriaceae.
GGGGAGCCGAAGGGAAACCGAGUCUUAACUGGGCGUUAAGUUGCAGGGUAUAGACCCGAAACCCGGUGAUCUAGCCAUGGGCAGGUUGAAGGUUGGGUAACACUAACUGGAGGACCGAACCGACUAAUGUUGAAAAAUUAGCGGAUGACUUGUGGCUGGGGGUGAAAGGCCAAUCAAACCGGGAGAUAGCUGGUUCUCCCCGAAAGCUAUUUAGGUAGCGCCUCGUGAAUUCAUCUCCGGGGGUAGAGCACUGUUUCGGCAAGGGGGUCAUCCCGACUUACCAACCCGAUGCAAACUGCGAAUACCGGAGAAUGUUAUCACGGGAGACACACGGCGGGUGCUAACGUCCGUCGUGAAGAGGGAAACAACCCAGACCGCCAGCUAAGGUCCCAAAGUCAUGGUUAAGUGGGAAACGAUGUGGGAAGGCCCAGACAGCCAGGAUGUUGGCUUAGAAGCAGCCAUCAUUUAAAGAAAGCGUAAUAGCUCACUGGUCGAGUCGGCCUGCGCGGAAGAUGUAACGGGGCUAAACCAUGCACCGAAGCUGCGGCAGCGACGCUUAUGCGUUGUUGGGUAGGGGAGCGUUCUGUAAGCCUGUGAAGGUGUGCUGUGAGGCAUGCUGGAGGUAUCAGAAGUGCGAAUGCUGACAUAAGUAACGAUAAAGCGGGUGAAAA